RNAcentral lists this unclassified non-coding RNA (342 nucleotides) under soil metagenome. Its description in RNAcentral is "partial contains 5.8S ribosomal RNA, internal transcribed spacer 2, and large subunit ribosomal RNA". The stretch from base 1 to 120 matches the Rfam family "5.8S ribosomal RNA", at positions 35 to 154 of the family's 154-position model. The record is from RNAcentral.
GAUGAAGAACGUAGUGAAAUGCGAUAAGUAGUGUGAAUUGCAGAAUUCAGUGAAUCAUCGAAUCUUUGAACGCACAUUGCGGCCAUAGGUAUUCCUUUGGCCAUGCCUGUUUGAGCGUCAUUUACACCCUCAAGCCUAGCUUGGUGUUGGGCGCCUGUCCCGCCGUUUUCGCGCGCGGACUCGCCUCAAAGUCAUUGGCGGCGGUCGUGCCGGCCCCCUCGCGCAGCACAUUUGCGCUUCUCGGAGGCCCGGCGGAUCCGCGCUCCAGCAAGACCUUUCACGACUUGACCUCGGAUCAGGUAGGGAUACCCGCUGAACUUAAGCAUAUCAAUAAGCGGAGGA